This is a long non-coding RNA of Strongylocentrotus purpuratus (purple sea urchin), 273 nucleotides long. RefSeq lists it as uncharacterized. The transcript has 2 exons. The record is from RefSeq and is a predicted model, not a curated record. Lineage: Eukaryota; Metazoa; Echinodermata; Echinoidea; Camarodonta; Strongylocentrotidae.
CAGGUAAGCAAGAGCCAUCCUCAUCAACUAGUAGACAACCAGAAGAAGGAGAAACAGCAGGAGAAACACCUUCCACAUCAAAUGCUGACGCUACCACACAGGGCAAUAGAGGAUUCUUCAGAUCCUUCCUAGGAUUCUUGGGAAGAUGAUUGGCGUUAGGCAUUGGUAGGUAAUGUCUUCUGGACCACAUUCCCAUGGAAAGCACGAGAAGAUUCUACUGUUCACCACUGCACUGACAUCUAUGUACACCAAGAUAGAGACUCUCUCACAUGA